UACGGAGGGUGCAAGCGUUAUCCGGAUUCACUGGGUUUAAAGGGUGCGUAGGUGGAUUGGUAAGUCAGUGGUGUAAUCUCCGGGCUUAACUCGGAAACUGCCAUUGAUACUAUCAGUCUUGAAUACCGUGGAGGCCAGUAGAAUAUGUCAUGUAGCGGUGAAAUGCUUAGAUAUGACAUAGAAUACCAAUUGCGAAGGCAGCUGGCUACGCGAAUAUUGACACUCAGGCACGAAAGCGUGGGGAUCAAACAGG
This 253-nucleotide ribosomal RNA is filed under the name uncultured bacterium. RNAcentral's name for it is "partial 16S ribosomal RNA". It matches the Rfam family "Bacterial small subunit ribosomal RNA", at positions 524 to 776 of the family's 1533-position model. The record is from RNAcentral.